AUUGAACGCUGGCGGCAUGCCUUACACAUGCGAGUCGAACGGCAGCACGGGUGCUUGCACCUGGUGGCGAGUGGCGAACGGGUGAGUAAUACAUCGGAACAUGUCCUGUAGUGGGGGAUAGCCCGGCGAAAGCCGGAUUAAUACCGCAUGCGAUCUACGGAUGAAAGCGGGGGACCUUCGGGCCUCGCGCUAUAGGGUUGGCCGAUGGCUGAUUAGCUAGUUGGUGGGGUAAAGGCCUACCAAGGCGACGAUCAGUAGCUGGUCUGAGAGGACGACCAGCCACACUGGGACUGAGACACGGCCCAGACUCCUACGGGAGGCAGCAGUGGGGAAUUUUGGACAAUGGGCGAAAGCCUGAUCCAGCAAUGCCGCGUGUGUGAAGAAGGCCUUCGGGUUGUAAAGCACUUUUGUCCGGAAAGAAAUCCUUGGCCCUAAUACGGUCGGGGGAUGACGGUACCGGAAGAAUAAGCACCGGCUAACUACGUG
RNAcentral lists this ribosomal RNA (486 nucleotides) under uncultured bacterium. RNAcentral describes it as "partial 16S ribosomal RNA". It matches the Rfam family "Bacterial small subunit ribosomal RNA", at positions 30 to 507 of the family's 1533-position model. The record is from RNAcentral.